UGGGGGAUAUUGCACAAUGGGCGAAAGCCUGAUGCAGCGACGCCGCGUGGGGGAUGAAGGCCUUCGGGUUGUAAACUUCUUUUGCUCUGAACAAGGCAUGCUAAUGGGUGUGUUGAGUGUAGGGGUUGAUUAGCGCCGGCUAACUACGUGCCAGCAGCCGCGGUAAUACGUAGGGCGCGAGCGUUGUCCGGAAUUAUUGGGCGUAAAGGGCUUGUAGGUGGUUGGUUGCGUCUGUCGUGAAAGCUCAUGGCUUAACUGUGGGUUUGCGGUGGGUACGGGCUGGCUUGAGUGCAGUAGGGGAGGCUGGAAUUCCUGGUGUAGCGGUGGAAUGCGCAGAUAUCAGGAGGAAUACCGGUGGCGAAGGCGGGUCUCUGGGCUGUUACUGACACUGAGGAGCGAAAGCAUGGGGAGCGAACAGG
Molecule: ribosomal RNA, 419 nt
Filed under: bacterium
Lineage: Bacteria
Description: partial 16S ribosomal RNA
Rfam family: Bacterial small subunit ribosomal RNA
Source: RNAcentral